GCAAGUCGAACGAGAACGGAUUAAAGCUUGCUAAGAUUGUCAGCUAAGUGGCGCACGGGUGAGUAAUAUAUAGUUAACCUGCCCUAGAGAGAGGGAUAACGUUUGGAAACGGACGCUAAUACCCUAUAUGCCUUUAAGACUUAAGUCUGCAAGGGAAAUAUUUAUAGCUUGAAGAUCGGCCUGUACAGUAUCAGUUAGUUGGUGAGGUAAUGGCUCACCAAGACAAUGACGCUUAACUGGUUUGAGAGGAUGAUC
Molecule: ribosomal RNA, 255 nt
Filed under: uncultured bacterium
Lineage: Bacteria
Description: partial 16S ribosomal RNA
Rfam family: Bacterial small subunit ribosomal RNA
Source: RNAcentral